UACAGAGGGGGCAAGCGUUGUUCGGAAUUACUGGGCGUAAAGGGCGCGUAGGCGGCCUUCUAAGUCGAACGUGAAAUCCCUGGGCUCAACCCGGGAACUGCGUCCGAUACUGGUGGGCUCGAAUCCGGGAGAGGGAUGCGGAAUUCCAGGUGUAGCGGUGAAAUGCGUAGAUAUCUGGAGGAACACCGGUGGCGAAGGCGGCAUCCUGGACCGGUAUUGACGCUGAGGCGCGAAAGCCAGGGGAGCAAACGGG
RNAcentral lists this ribosomal RNA (253 nucleotides) under uncultured bacterium. Its description in RNAcentral is "partial 16S ribosomal RNA". It matches the Rfam family "Bacterial small subunit ribosomal RNA", at positions 524 to 776 of the family's 1533-position model. The record is from RNAcentral.